RNAcentral lists this transfer RNA (75 nucleotides) under Aspidoscelis inornatus (Little striped whiptail). RNAcentral describes it as "tRNA-Ile". The record is from RNAcentral. Lineage: Eukaryota; Metazoa; Chordata; Lepidosauria; Squamata; Teiidae.
AUGGAAAUGUGCCCGAGACACUAAGGAUUACUUUGAUAGAGUAAAAUACAGGGAUACCAACCCCCCUCAUUUCCU